RNAcentral lists this ribosomal RNA (496 nucleotides) under uncultured bacterium. RNAcentral describes it as "partial 16S ribosomal RNA". It matches the Rfam family "Bacterial small subunit ribosomal RNA", at positions 28 to 506 of the family's 1533-position model. The record is from RNAcentral.
GAUGAACGCUGGCGGCGUGCCUAAUACAUGCAAGUCGAGCGAACGGACGAGAAGCUUGCUUCUCUGAUGUUAGCGGCGGACGGGUGAGUAACACGUGGAUAACCUACCUAUAAGACUGGGAUAACUUCGGGAAACCGGAGCUAAUACCGGAUAAUAUUUUGAACCGCAUGGUUCAAAAGUGAAAGACGGUCUUGCUGUCACUUAUAGAUGGAUCCGCGCUGCAUUAGCUAGUUGGUAAGGUAACGGCUUACCAAGGCAACGAUGCAUAGCCGACCUGAGAGGGUGAUCGGCCACACUGGAACUGAGACACGGUCCAGACUCCUACGGGAGGCAGCAGUAGGGAAUCUUCCGCAAUGGGCGAAAGCCUGACGGAGCAACGCCGCGUGAGUGAUGAAGGUCUUCGGAUCGUAAAACUCUGUUAUUAGGGAAGAACAUAUGUGUAAGUAACUGUGCACAUCUUGACGGUACCUAAUCAGAAAGCCACGGAUAACUACGU